RNAcentral lists this unclassified non-coding RNA (240 nucleotides) under soil metagenome. RNAcentral's name for it is "partial contains 5.8S ribosomal RNA, internal transcribed spacer 2, and large subunit ribosomal RNA". The record is from RNAcentral.
AACCUAGCACACCUGCGGUGUGUACCUGCGGAGGGAUCAUUAACAAGCCUGUGAAGAUCUACCCCCCAAAGGGGUGUGAUCUUUCAUCCGGCCACCCUUGUUUACUUUAAACCUGUUGCUUUGGUGGGCCCGCGAAAAACGCCGCUGGGGGACCUAGUCUCCGGGUGAGUGCUCACCAAAGUCCUAUUGAACUCUUGAAGUUAUGCUGUCUGAGCAUGCCGAAAAUGGUUAGAUAAAACU